RNAcentral lists this unclassified non-coding RNA (307 nucleotides) under uncultured fungus. RNAcentral describes it as "sequence contains ITS2". Lineage: Eukaryota; Fungi. The record is from RNAcentral.
AACGCACCUUGCACCCUUUGGUAUUCCGAAGGGUACACCCGUUUGAGUGUCAUUGUAAUCUCACUACGAUCGACUUUAUUGUCUUUCUGUAUGUGGACUUGGAUGCUGCCGUGGACUUCCACGGCUCGUCUGAAAUGCCUGAGUGUACCCCGCUUUGCGGCGUAUUCGGUGUGAUAAAUCUUCACCGGAGUUGAUCCAUUUCGGGUCGCGUCUUAAGGAGUGUGGCUCUAUGCUUCCAACCGUCUCUGUUUGGGACAAUCUCUGACAAUUUGACCUCAAAUCGGGUGGGACUACCCGCUGAACUUAA